Molecule: ribosomal RNA, 253 nt
Filed under: uncultured bacterium
Lineage: Bacteria
Description: partial 16S ribosomal RNA
Rfam family: Bacterial small subunit ribosomal RNA
Source: RNAcentral
UACGUAGGGCGCAAGCGUUGUCCGGCCUUAUUGGGCGUAAAGAGCUCGUAGGCGGCUUGUCACGUCGGGUGUGAAAGCCCGGGGCUUAACCCCGGGUCUGCAUUCGAUACGGGCAGGCUAGAGUGUGGUAGGGGAGAUCGGAAUUCCUGGUGUAGCGGUGAAAUGCGCAGAUAUCAGGAGGAACACCGGUGGCGAAGGCGGAUCUCUGGGCCAUUACUGACGCUGAGGAGCGAAAGCGUGGGGAGCGAACAGG